AUAGCUACUUAGGUUACCUUGUCAAAAACCAAACCUUGUUUCAAAACUUUUUUUUGGUUUCGGGUUUAGGGUCCUGUGUGCUCUGCCUCCGGACUGUGGUUGCCGCUCGUGCUUCGCGCUCCUUCUGCGUGCUCUGCCUCUGUCUGUGCGUUGCCGCUCGUGCUUGGCCGCUCGUGCUCUGCCUCCUGUCUCUGGUCUCAGACAUCCACCACUCCAACCUCCAAUCUCGCACCUCAGACCACCUCCACCAUCAUCAAUCGCACUCCCAGGUACCAGCCUUCACUUGCGAACAACCGCUCCGCCUCCUGCAUGUGUUUGCCUUCGCCGUUCUCAAAACCUGCGCCCUUACCAGCCUCAGACACCACCCCUUCGCUUGAUUGUUCGUGCCUCCUCUUCUUUUUGUGCGUCUUCUGCAAGGUUCUAAUUUUUGUUCUUUUGGUUUAGAUCUCUCUUCAAAGUUGGAUUCCAGAAAUUAUUGAGAGACAUCAAAAAACAAUCUAAAUAUUGAGCAAGAAUUUCACAUGUGGAAAGAAAAGGCAAAGGAGCAAGAAAUGAUCAAUGAAGAGCAAAAGAUCAAGUUGAAUGAUGCUGAGCACAAGUUAAAAGAUCAAGGACGUCAACUAAAAGUUCAACAGAAAAGAAUUGGUUCUACUGAAAAGACAAUUCAUAUUUUGUAUAAAAAGUUGAAUCUGCCACUUCCUUCAACCUUGUCUGAUCCUACGGAAGAUGAGCUUGGGACAGGCUCUAGUGAUGAUAACAUGAGUGAUUGAUAUUUGGAGUAUAUGUUUUUUCUGAUUUAGAUUAAGAAAUUUUUAGGUGAUUUAGUUAGUACAUUUUAUUUUACUCAUGAUAUUUGACCUUUUUAAAAGCUUUCUUUGUUUUAGUUUAAGUAUUUUUUUCUUAUUUUAGUUUGAUUACAUUUAUGGACAAAAGUAUUUUAAUAAUAAAUAUUUUUUUAACA
Long non-coding RNA from Arachis duranensis, 961 nucleotides. RefSeq lists it as uncharacterized. NCBI's taxonomy places the organism in Eukaryota, Viridiplantae, Streptophyta, Magnoliopsida, Fabales, Fabaceae. The record is from RefSeq and is a predicted model, not a curated record. The transcript has 2 exons.